GACGAACGCUGGCGGCGUGCCUAAUACAUGCAAGUCGAACGCUUCUUUUUCCACCGGAGCUUGCUCCACCGGAAAAAGAGGAGUGGCGAACGGGUGAGUAACACGUGGGCAACCUGCCUAUAAGACUGGGAUAACUUCGGGAAACCGGAGCUAAUACCGGAUAAUUCAUUUCUACUCAUGUAGAAAAGCUAAAAGACGGUUUACGCUGUCACUUAUAGAUGGGCCCGCGGCGCAUUAGCUAGUUGGUGAGGUAACGGCUCACCAAGGCCACGAUGCGUAGCCGACCUGAGAGGGUGAUCGGCCACACUGGGACUGAGACACGGCCCAGACUCCUACGGGAGGCAGCAGUAGGGAAUCUUCCGCAAUGGACGAAAGUCUGACGGAGCAACGCCGCGUGAGUGAUGAAGGUUUUCGGAUCGUAAAACUCUGUUGUUAGGGAAGAACAAGGAUGAGAGUAACUGCUCAUACCUUGACGGUACCUAACCAGAAAGCCACGGCUAACUACGUGCCAGCCGCCGCCGUAAAAC
RNAcentral lists this ribosomal RNA (527 nucleotides) under uncultured bacterium. RNAcentral describes it as "bacterial SSU rRNA". It matches the Rfam family "Bacterial small subunit ribosomal RNA", at positions 28 to 526 of the family's 1533-position model. The record is from RNAcentral.